This 492-nucleotide ribosomal RNA is filed under the name uncultured bacterium. Its description in RNAcentral is "partial 16S ribosomal RNA". It matches the Rfam family "Bacterial small subunit ribosomal RNA", at positions 29 to 507 of the family's 1533-position model. The record is from RNAcentral.
AGUGAACGCUGGCGGUAGGCCUAACACAUGCAAGUCGAACGGCAGCACAGUAAGAGCUUGCUCUUACGGGUGGCGAGUGGCGGACGGGUGAGGAAUACAUCGGAAUCUACUUUUUCGUGGGGGAUAACGUAGGGAAACUUACGCUAAUACCGCAUACGACCUACGGGUGAAAGCAGGGGAUCUUCGGACCUUGCGCGAUUGAAUGAGCCGAUGUCGGAUUAGCUAGUUGGCGGGGUAAAGGCCCACCAAGGCGACGAUCCGUAGCUGGUCUGAGAGGAUGAUCAGCCACACUGGAACUGAGACACGGUCCAGACUCCUACGGGAGGCAGCAGUGGGGAAUAUUUGACAAUGGGCGAAAGCCUGAUCCAGCCAUACCGCGUGAGUGAAGAAGGCCUUCGGAUUGUAAAGCCCUUUUGUUGGGAAAGAAAAGCAGCAGGUUAAUACCCCGCUGUUCUGACGGUACCCAAAGAAUAAGCACCGGCUAACUUCGUG